RNAcentral lists this ribosomal RNA (445 nucleotides) under uncultured bacterium. RNAcentral's name for it is "bacterial SSU rRNA". It matches the Rfam family "Bacterial small subunit ribosomal RNA", at positions 331 to 793 of the family's 1533-position model. The record is from RNAcentral.
CCAGACUCCUACGGGAGGCAGCAGUGGGGAAUAUUGCACAAUGGGGGAAACCCUGAUGCAGCGACGCCGCGUGAGUGAUGAAGUAUUUCGGUAUGUAAAGCUCUAUCAGCAGGGAAGAAAAUGACGGUACCUGACUAAGAAGCACCGGCUAAAUACGUGCCAGCAGCCGCGGUAAUACGUAUGGUGCAAGCGUUAUCCGGAUUUACUGGGUGUAAAGGGAGCGUAGACGGAGAGGCAAGUCUGAUGUGAAAACCCGGGGCUCAACCCCGGGACUGCAUUGGAAACUGUUUUUCUAGAGUGUCGGAGAGGCAAGUGGAAUUCCUAGGGUAGCGGUGAAAUGCGUAGAUGUUAGGAGGAACACCAGUGGCGAAGGCGGCUUGCUGGACGAUGACUGACGUUGAGGCUCGAAAGCGUGGGGAGCAAACAGGAUUAGAUACCCCCGUAA